GGGGAUAUAGCUCAGUCAGGUAGAGCACGUAUUACUCUGUUAAAUGUUCUCUUGUAUCAUAUACAAGUAGUGAUGAAUAGAGUUACUUCAGCCUUUUAAGCUCGUGGUCAUAGGUUCAAAUCCUGUUAUCCCCA
This 134-nucleotide transfer RNA is filed under the name Caudoviricetes sp. RNAcentral describes it as "tRNA-OTHER". It matches the Rfam family "tRNA". From Rfam's summary of the family: Transfer RNA (tRNA) molecules are approximately 80 nucleotides in length. Their secondary structure includes four short double-helical elements and three loops (D, anti-codon, and T loops). Further hydrogen bonds mediate the characteristic L-shaped molecular structure. tRNAs have two regions of fundamental functional importance: the anti-codon, which is responsible for specific mRNA codon recognition, and the 3' end, to which the tRNAs corresponding amino acid is attached (by aminoacyl-tRNA synthetases). tRNAs cope with the degeneracy of the genetic code in two manners: having more than one tRNA (with a specific anti-codon) for a particular amino acid; and 'wobble' base-pairing, i.e. permitting non-standard base-pairing at the 3rd anti-codon position. The record is from RNAcentral. Lineage: Duplodnaviria; Heunggongvirae; Uroviricota; Caudoviricetes.